This 1056-nucleotide long non-coding RNA is filed under the name Mytilus galloprovincialis (Mediterranean mussel). Lineage: Eukaryota; Metazoa; Mollusca; Bivalvia; Mytilida; Mytilidae. The record is from RNAcentral.
CCGUUGCAUGUCCGUUAAGCGUCCGUUUUAUCCGUUGCAUGUCCGUUAAGCGUCCGUUUUAUCCGUCGACGUCCGUUCUGUCCGGUGGAAAAUUUUGAGCAUGUUCAAAACUUUGAACGGACGUCUAACGGAUAAAAUGUCCGUUGAACGUCCGUUAGACGUCCGUUAGGCGUCCGUUUUGUACGGUACUCGUCCGUUUCGUUUCCGUUUUGUAUCCGUUACGUGUCCGUUAUACAUCCGUUGGAGGUCUGGCAGAUAAAUUCACCAACGGACUUCUAACGGACGUCUAACGGAUAAAACGGAUGAGAAACGGACUUCUAACGGACGUAUAACGGACAUAACGGAUGAUGAACGGAUCUGAAACGGAUAAAAUUGAUGCCAAUUGAAAAUUUCUCGUCAGAAAUGCCAAAAAUAUUUCUUAAGGUUCAUGAAUUCUUAUUAUUCAUAAUCGAUCUUAGAGUAAGGGCACAUCUUCACAAUCAAUCAGCUGUUAAACUUAUUCAGGUCAGACACUACCCUUUAGCGGCAUUUUGAAGAACAAACAAAAACCAGUUACACAGAACUUUGACAAAUAGAUUUGCUUUCAUUAUAUUGCAUGUUUUUUCAGUUUUGUUUGGUAGGAUUUGCAUGAUUUUUUAUGUGAUAGUCGGUUAAAAAGUUCAUCAGAGCUCAUGUUUUGUCUGUUAUUAUGUAUAUAUAUGCCGACUCGAAAUAAAAUCAACUUACUUAAUUACUUAACUAGAACAUUUUCAAUAUUAAUGCGAUUGACAUGUAUUAUUAUUGUCGCCUUUAAUUUUUUCGUAUAUCUUGUUUAUCCGUUUUAUCCGGUACGCUUCCGUUAGGUGUCCGUUUUAUGCGGUACUCGUCCGUUGGAUGUACGUUCGACAUCCGUUCUGUCCGUUACGUCUCCGUUUCUCGUCCGUUGCAUAUCCGUUGCAUGUCCGUUAUGCAUUCGUUAGGCGUCCGUUUUAGUUGGUCAGUACAUCAACGGACGCCCAACGGAUAACAAUUUUGUCAACGGACAACUUUUAUUUUCAUCCGUUAGGCGUCCGUUCG